AGUUUACCGAAGCUGGCGCGCACGAGGCGGGUUCAGGUUUGAGCGGCCUUGGGUUUGAGGCGCUUCAGGUUGGACAGCAAAUAUUGUUUGAACAAAUUUCCAAAUGGAAGUGUCACAGGACCUGGACGAGAUCCGUCAGCUGCUGGUGCAGAGCCGACGGGACAACACCCGUCGCCUGCUCUCAGCAGAGGUGGCCAGACUGGAGGCGCUGAAGACCGCAGAGGAGGCCAGUCAGCCAGCCAAGAAACCCGUCCAGCCCCCGGCAGACCGGGUCUAUGAGAAGAAACUCACAGAGUAUGCUUGGGAUCAGUCGGACAAGUUCGUCAAGUUCUACAUCAACCUGAAGAACGUGCAGAAUGCCCCCGCGGAGAGCAUCAAAUGCAACUUCACCGACAAUUCGUUUUCACUGCGUGUUGAGGGUCUGGACAACAAGAACUACAACUUCUCGCUGAGCAACCUGCUGAGGCCUAUCGAUCCCGCUGCCAGCAAGUACAAGGUCAAAACAGACUGUGUGCUGGUGAUGCUCUCCAAGCGUUCCUCUCAGUCGUGGUCGCACGUGACCGCGGCGGAGAGCGCGGCCGACGAGGCACGCGCCGCCAAGUACUCAUCUCCCGACAAGACUGACGCCGGCGGCGACCCGGCUGCCGGCAUCAUGGACUUGAUGAAGAAGAUGUAUGACGAGGGAGAUGACGAGAUGAAGAGGACGAUCAAGAAGGCGUGGGCCGAGGGCCAGGAGAAGCAACGCUCUGAGGGCGGCUUCGGGGGACUGGGAGGACUGGGAGGCAUGGGAGGGCUGUGAGCGGUGUGAUGAGGUCGGGGGAGCGGCGCGGGAAGUGACGAGUGAAGACCAAGGGGCACAACUGUACCCCGUCCCCAGCAAAGGAAGGUGAGGAGGGUGGUUUGUAUCAGGCUGGCCAUGCCAUGACGGGUGUGUCAGUGGUCGGCGUUUGACGCCAGCGGCGACGAGUAAGGUCUCAGUUUUCUCCCCAGCCGGAGAUUUGUAACGUCUCUGUUUUGUAUGCAUUGCGUUAUAUUGUGAUCGUCUUUUUGCCAAGGCUGCCAAACCGUACACGGCGGAAAGAUGUCUUUGGUGUUGUUAUUCCCUAAUCUGUUCUGUCCUAUAUUGUAUGCGAAGCUGUUUUGAUAAAGCUCUGGUCCAUGA
Molecule: unclassified non-coding RNA, 1162 nt
Filed under: Amphibalanus amphitrite
Lineage: Eukaryota; Metazoa; Arthropoda; Thecostraca; Balanomorpha; Balanidae
Description: calcyclin-binding protein-like, transcript variant X6
Source: RNAcentral